UCAGGUGCUGUAUGAUUAGUAGGAUAUCCGGGGAAUGUGUUUGUGAAGUUUUAUUGUGUGUGCAUUGUCUGUCUUUGAUCCGUCUGUCACUGUCCGUUGAUGACAUUCAGACCACUGAGCACUGUAAAAAGUAGAUUGCUUAGACUCGUUUUGGAGUUUUAAUGCAAUCCUCGGGACUGUAGUAGGUAACUGAUUUUUGUGUUACGUGCAUAAUAGGAAAAGACUUCAGGGAGGAGAACGGAAGCUUGGAUAGCUAUUCAGGGGACAGGGAGGUAUGGAUAAACGGACAGACCAGUAGACUAGAUUGUUCCCCGAGACCACAGUUAAGAUUUUACAGGACAUGUAAGUUAAUAAAAUGCUUUCAGGUGUUACUUUAUAUUGGAAGAUAAUUUUUAUAUUGGAAGAUAAAGUGGUGAGGAGUGGUGGUGAUGACCAUCGUCUGCUGCUGAUAAAUAUUCUGGUUUAGGAUGUUAUGGGUAUUUGGUCUACAAUUAGAGGCAAUGGUUUACAUGUAUACCCACAACUUCAAGAUCAAAAGCCAUAUAGUAGUUUCUUAAAGGAUGGACUUUGAAAUUACUUUCAGUAUAUGAAAAGCAUGGAGGUAUAAUGGGUGGACUAGUAAUUUUUUUUUUUUUUUUAGAUUAGCCACUCAAGUUCAUGGAGGGGGGUCUAUACAUUCCCCACCCAUGCCCGGCGAGUAUAGGAUAGGAUACUGCUCAUUUGCCUAAUGGAAAUUGAAAAAGCAACAUGAUUGAAAAACAAUCCUUUUAUUAACAUCGUCACCAUUCUGGUUCAUUAGGAAGGUGUUGCACCUUGCUGUGUAGAGGACCUGGUGACUGAUGGCUGGGUCUCUUCCUGCAGGGUUACCUGAGUAGUUCCACAUUUGUGUUUUUAGUGAAAGCUGUGUGUUAGACUUGUUCAUUGACAGUGUUGUCAAUUAAUGAGCAGCAAUGUUUAAGUCCUAGACUCGUGAAGUAUAUAUAUUUACUUUUAAUUUUUUUUUUAUUUAUUUAUUUUUUUUAAUAUCACAGUUUCUCCGGAGACUCUUUGAAGUAUAUUAUAAAGAUGGGAAUUGGGAGAGCAAUGGAGAUAUGCAAGUAACCACCAUUUAUGUGCAUCAAUUCCCAAUUAGUGUAGCUUAUGUAAUACAAGGAAACAACCUUUGGUUAAGGAAACCAAAACCUAGGUCAAAAUUACUAUCACCUUUUAUUUAGUGUGCAUUCAUUGGUAACUCCCAUUACUAAUGGGUGGAGAUCUUGGGGUCUACCUGCUCCACUUACCCGACUAGUUUCACUACCUUGGCUGGUGUGUGGCAGUCCCAGGCCCAUCACCUCUUGAUUUUCUGUAAUGAAAAAAUUGGUAAAUUUACAAAAUAUGAAUAUCCAUUUUGA
Molecule: long non-coding RNA, 1391 nt
Organism: Scylla paramamosain (green mud crab)
Lineage: Eukaryota; Metazoa; Arthropoda; Malacostraca; Decapoda; Portunidae
Exons: 2
Source: RefSeq, a predicted model, not a curated record